AUACUUGUUAUUUCAUUCAAUCCACCCACAUAGCCUAGGAUAGUGACCCCUUUCUAAGUCCUUCAUGCCAGAUAAGGUAGCCAGUUCAUAGGUUCCAGGGUUUAGGAUAUGGACAUCUUUAGGAGGCCAUGAUUUGUUCUACCACAUCUCACCAAUCCAUCCACCACUGACAAUUGCACUUUUGACUAGCCAGGGGUGAUUUGGUGCAAGCAAAAUAAAUCAAUUCUGCUUAUCUUAAGCAGAAAGGGAAUCAUUGGAAAGACAGCUGAAUAUCAGUAGAAAGGCUGGUGAAAAGGGCAUGAGGAGAUGCAUGUGUGAGCAGGAGCCAGAAUCAGUCUAGGAAGAACCUGGUGAGAACCCUACAGCUGGCAUGUGUGCCUGCCCUGUGUUGUGAAGCCCACUGCUGCUGCUGUCACCAGCCCCUGGAUAUACCUAUAGCUACUGCAUACAUACUGGGUACUAUGUGGUUUCCUGAAGCUGCAUGUUUCCUAUUUACAUUCAAAGUCUGGGAGUUGAGGGAGCUGGCUUCUGACUAGCUAGCCUUAGGUCAUCCGCUUAAGCUAUUUGCCAGCUGAGCAGAGAGGGAGUAUCUGUUUCCCCAAGACUUUUGAAGAGGGAAGCCCUACUUGCCUCUGACCUAUGUUAGAAUGCCCACAAGGAAGUAAGUCCUAGUGUUGGGCAAAAAAAAAAAAAAAAGCAAAUGUUUACCAGACUCUUUGGACUCAGGAAUUAGGACAAGCAAUGCUGGAGAGCAGGGCUGUACUUUUGAAAGAUCUUUGACUACUGAUAGGUGUGGAAGGCUCCCCAUUCUCACACAUUGAGUUUUGCUACACUUCAACAUCAGGCCGUCAUCUAUAUAUGGUCCAUACCACUGAGGGAAAUUUUCUAGCUGAUUGCUGCUUUUUACCUUUUCCUCCUUUUAUUCUUUGCCUUAAUAAUACAACUGCCAUCUGUACAUUUUGUACCCCCUUCUCUCUGAAGAUAAAAAAUGCUCACAGCCUAGGAUUAUAUGAAUGAAGAUAGUCCCUUGGAUAUGUCUCUGCACACCUUGUCAUCCUUAAUAUAUAUAGUUGACAUAAUCCAUUCAUCUACUACAUGAUUCAUUGUUUGAUUUGUUUUUCAAGGUGUGGUAAUGAGUGUGUUGCUGACAUUUCAUUUUCUCUGCCCUGGGCUUCUGGUGCCUACUUGAUAAGUGUGACCACUGUCUGCACAAUAAUGGUGAAUUCCAACCACAGGGCUAAACUGGUCU
This 1249-nucleotide long non-coding RNA is filed under the name Marmota monax (woodchuck). Lineage: Eukaryota; Metazoa; Chordata; Mammalia; Rodentia; Sciuridae. The record is from RNAcentral.